RNAcentral lists this ribosomal RNA (408 nucleotides) under uncultured bacterium. Its description in RNAcentral is "partial 16S ribosomal RNA". It matches the Rfam family "Bacterial small subunit ribosomal RNA", at positions 28 to 526 of the family's 1533-position model. The record is from RNAcentral.
GACGAACGCUGGCGGCGUGCUUAACACAUGCAAGUCGAACGGAGUGGCGAACGGGUGAGUAACACGUGGGUGACCUGCCCUGCACUUCGGGAUAAGCCUGGGAAACUGGGUCUAAUACCGGAUAGUGUGGGAUGGGCCCGCGGCCUAUCAGCUUGUUGGUGGGGUAAGGGCCUACCAAGGCGGCGACGGGUAGCCGGCCUGGGAGGUUGGACGGCCACAAGGUGCCUGAGACACGGCGCAGAAUCCUACGGGAGGCAGCAGUGGGGAAUAUUGCACAGUGAGCGGAAGCCUGAUGCAGCGACGCCGGGUGGGGAAUGACGGCCUGCGGGUUGUAAACUCCUAUCUCAAUCGACGCGGUAGAUGGAGAAGAAGCACCGGCUAACUACGUGCCAGCAGCCGCGGUAAUAC